AUGUACCACUCGUACACUCAAGUUCCUCCGCCCCGUCCACACCCACCUGAUGACUGCUCGCGACGUUUAGUUAGCC
RNAcentral lists this small RNA (76 nucleotides) under Xanthomonas sp. NCPPB 1560. RNAcentral describes it as "sX9 sRNA". It matches the Rfam family "Xanthomonas sRNA sX9". The record is from RNAcentral. RNAcentral also lists the same sequence under 6 other names. Lineage: Bacteria; Pseudomonadati; Pseudomonadota; Gammaproteobacteria; Lysobacterales; Lysobacteraceae.